UACGUAGGGUGCGAGCGUUGUCCGGAAUUAUUGGGCGUAAAGAGCUUGUAGGCGGUUUGUUGCGUCGGCUGUGAAAUCCCGAGGCUCAACCUCGGGUCUGCAGUCGAUACGAGCAAACUAGAGUGUUGCAGGGGAGACUGGAAUUCCUGGUGUAGCGGUGAAAUGCGCAGAUAUCAGGAGGAACACCGGUGGCGAAGGCGGGUCUCUGGGCAACAACUGACGCUGAGGAGCGAAAGCGUGGGGAGCGAACGGG
RNAcentral lists this ribosomal RNA (253 nucleotides) under uncultured bacterium. RNAcentral describes it as "partial 16S ribosomal RNA". It matches the Rfam family "Bacterial small subunit ribosomal RNA", at positions 524 to 776 of the family's 1533-position model. The record is from RNAcentral.